RNAcentral lists this ribosomal RNA (253 nucleotides) under uncultured bacterium. RNAcentral describes it as "partial 16S ribosomal RNA". It matches the Rfam family "Bacterial small subunit ribosomal RNA", at positions 524 to 776 of the family's 1533-position model. RNAcentral also lists the same sequence under 1 other name. The record is from RNAcentral.
UACGAAGGGGGCUAGCGUUGUUCGGAAUUACUGGGCGUAAAGCGCGUGUAGGCGGACCGUUAAGUCGGGGGUGAAAGCCCAGAGCUCAACUCUGGAAUUGCCUUCGAUACUGGCGGUCUGGACCCAAGUAGAGGCGAGUGGAAUUACGAGUGUAGAGGUGAAAUUCGUAGAUAUUCGUAGGAACACCAGUGGCGAAGGCGACUCGCUGGACUUGUGGUGACGCUGAGACGCGAAAGCGUGGGGAGCAAACAGG